AAAAAAUUAUAUACAUAUAUACUGCAUAUAUAUUUAGGUUAAACAUCCUUGAUGUAUGAAACCUCACAUAAAAUCAGACUGCAGUCUUUUAUUAUUGCCAGAGACCCAAUUUUUUUUUCUACUAAAUGCAUUAUUGGGAAAGAUCAGUGGUGUGGCCUAAAUUGUCCACAUUUAAGCAAGUGUAUGCUGUAUGCCUUUCACUUAUCUAGUGUCCAUGUGACAGGUGUGGCCUAAAUUGUCUGGGAGGUAUUUUAUAUCCCUGUUACUUGUAUAGUGCCCAUGUGAUAGUUCUAUAAUAAUAGAUAAUAAAUGUAUAGUGUAGUGUAGGUUAAAUAUCCUUGAUUUAUGAAAUUUCACCUAAAUUGGGACUGCAGCCUUUUUUAUUGCCAAAGACCCUCUUUCUUAAUACUGGAGGUGAACAGGGAAAAUCAGGGUUGUGUGGCCUAAAUUUCCACUUUUAAAUAUUCAAAUGAUGGAAUUAUAUGCCAUUUCCCAAACUAUGGUUGUUUUUUAUAGGACCUGACUAACAGUGCUACAGAGGAUAUGACUUGCAAUAAGAGCUGCAGAGUGCUGGGUCCUGCCUUCAGAAGUUAAGAAAGGAGAGGACUUGUAAAGGACAGAUAUCCUUUUCUUUCUUUUUAUAAAAAAAAUAAUUGGUCUUGGCACCCCCCACAGUAAAUCCUGGUUUCCUUGUCCUUUAAGAAUAAGCGGUUUUGGAACGUAUUAAAAAAAAAAUAACAUUUUUCAUUUUAAUUUGUUGUCUGAUUUAUUGUACACAGGACCUGGCAGUGUGAGCUGCAGAAUGCUGGAGUUUCUGGUAAAGAGAUUUGCAGUGUCCUCGGUCCCCCCUUGAGAGAUGAAGAAAGUUAUAGGACUGCUAAAGGACAACAAGACUGUCAAUGGUAAAGGACUUGAAAAUGAGAGCUACAGAGGGCUGCAAUUUCUAGCAAAGAGUUUUGCAGUGUAUUGGGUCGUGCCUUGAGAGGUGAAGCAAGAAAGAGAACUGCUGAAGGGCAACAAGACUUUCAAGCAAAGGACCCAGCAAUAAGUGCUGCAGAGCAUUGGAGUUUCCAGCAAAUAGAUUUGCAUUGCGCUGGGUCCUGCCUUGAGAGGUGAAAGAAAGAAGAGGACUGCCAAGGAAAAAAAAGACUUUCAAGUGAAGGUAAAUAGAACUUAAAUUACUGUGGGUAGGCAGCCUUCAGUGAAUCUAUUCGCUAAGUGAGUUUACCAGGCGGCAUGUAUGAGUGUAUAUCUAAAGUAGGACAAGAACAGUAAGUGAGUUGACACUGUAGCAUGGCAUUUGUUUCCCUUGGUUGGUUCUGAUUUAUUGUAAAAAGAACCAGACAUCAAGAGCAGCAGAUGAUCAGAGUUUCCAUGUGAUUUGCCCUAAGCUGGGUCCUGCCUUGAGAGUGGAAGAAAGGAAGAGGGCUGCUAAAGGACAGAAAGACUUUCAAGCUCCGAUAAAGAGAUUUUGAAUUGAAAAUUUGUUAGGAAUAGUAUGUUCCGUAAUAUACUAAAUGGUAUUUAAAGGUGAACCUGGCACCUGGCAAUAAUAGUUCUUCCCUGCAGAUUAUUAUUAUUAUUAUUAACAUUUAUUUAUAAA
Xenopus tropicalis (tropical clawed frog) is the source of this 1603-nucleotide long non-coding RNA. RefSeq lists it as uncharacterized. The transcript is spliced from 3 exons. The record is from RefSeq and is a predicted model, not a curated record. NCBI's taxonomy places the organism in Eukaryota, Metazoa, Chordata, Amphibia, Anura, Pipidae.